UACGGAGGGUGCGAGCGUUAAUCGGAAUUACUGGGCGUAAAGCGCACGCAGGCGGUUUGUUAAGCUAGAUGUGAAAGCCCCGGGCUCAACCUGGGANGGUCAUUUAGAACUGGCAGACUAGAGUCUUGGAGAGGGGAGUGGAAUUCCAGGUGUAGCGGUGAAAUGCGUAGAUAUCUGGAGGAACAUCAGUGGCGAAGGCGACUCCCUGGCCAAAGACUGACGCUCAUGUGCGAAAGUGUGGGUAGCGAGCAGG
This 253-nucleotide ribosomal RNA is filed under the name uncultured bacterium. RNAcentral describes it as "partial 16S ribosomal RNA". It matches the Rfam family "Bacterial small subunit ribosomal RNA", at positions 524 to 776 of the family's 1533-position model. The record is from RNAcentral.